This 239-nucleotide ribosomal RNA is filed under the name Listeria monocytogenes. RNAcentral's name for it is "partial 16S ribosomal RNA". It matches the Rfam family "Bacterial small subunit ribosomal RNA", at positions 1 to 228 of the family's 1533-position model. Lineage: Bacteria; Bacillati; Bacillota; Bacilli; Caryophanales; Listeriaceae. The record is from RNAcentral.
UUUAAAGAGAGUUUGAUCCUGGCUCAGGACGAACGCUGGCGGCGUGCCUAAUACAUGCAAGUCGAACGAACGGAGGAAGAGCUUGCUCUUCCAAAGUUAGUGGCGGACGGGUGAGUAACACGUGGGCAACCUGCCUGUAAGUUGGGGAUAACUCCGGGAAACCGGGGCUAAUACCGAAUGAUAAAGUGUGGCGCAUGCCACGCUUUUGAAAGAUGGUUUCGGCUAUCGCUUACAGAUGG